RNAcentral lists this long non-coding RNA (1824 nucleotides) under Homo sapiens (human). RNAcentral describes it as "non-protein coding lnc-GOLGA8O-6:1". The record is from RNAcentral. Lineage: Eukaryota; Metazoa; Chordata; Mammalia; Primates; Hominidae.
AAAUUAUUUCAAGUACUUCAGGGUUUAGUUUUCUUAGUGACACCCUGGACCCUGGAUGCUGCUUUCUAAAGUGCACCUGAUCCAUGCAGUUUUAUGUCUUCAUAUAACUGGUAUCUUGUGAGUUUGCAAGCAAUGGGAUGAGCAAGAAAAAAAGGACGCAUGGAGGAGAAAAAUUUGAACGAGGCUAGUGCAAUGUUUUGCUGAUAGAUUACAUUGUUAGGGAGCUGGUGAUUUUUUGCCAUGGUCGUAUCGUGGACAGCUUUUCCGUGGAAAUUCAAGGCAUCUGUAUUAGGCAAAUGUGAGUGCCCUUGAUCUUGUAUUGAUCAGUGCCAAUGUACUGGGAAAGCAGGUACCCCAGUGAAACUGGUCUGUGCUUGGUUUAACAGCUCCAACAAUUUCAGAUCCAUGGGGCUGCUUGACCAUAGACCCUGUUUACUCCAUGCCUGUUCAAAAGUCAUUUUGACUUCUAGCUUUGUUUCACUUUCUUCUUUCAAUACUUCUGUUUCCUCGUCCUUUUCCUUCAUAUUCCAUGGCUAUUUCUUUCCUACUUUACAGUUUCCCCCAGACCCAGAUUUUUUCACACCUCUGCAUCAUAGACAACUGAGUAGCUCCCUUGGCCCCUCCUCCAUCCUCUCACACCCUGUGCUCCGUUCCUCAGCCGUUUGGACAGGGAGCUCCGCUGUCACCAAGGAGCCCAUGUGAGACACACUGCUGUGACUGCCUCUUGUUAAUGUCAGCAUCACCUCAUCACUUAAGCAAAAAGGAAAAUCCAUAAAAGAGAUGGAAAAUACGUCUCUUUUUAUUUUAUUUUAAGAAGAUUGGGCGGGGUGGGGGGGGGGUUCUUAUUCUAGGCCUUCUCAAUUUCUCAUAGAUUUUACCUUAAACUAAUUAAGGCCAUUCUCUUGAUAAAUUUGUACAUCAGACCGGGUCACCAGCUAUGAUGCAGAACGCCAGAUUUUUGAAUCUCAAGUAACUUUCUGUGGUGCUGGACAAAUUGACUUAAUUCUGUGCAGGCAAACACUUUGAAUCAUAAGGAUUUUUAUUGCCGCUCCAUUCUUACUACUAUUCAUGAUUCAAACAUCUACCCCUGUUCUGAAUCAGGAUGUUGACACUUCUUGGUUAUUUUCAGAUGAACAGUAACUGCUACACUCUUGAAAGCACUUAAAAGUGCAAGCAUGUCCUAAAUAGCCAUUUAACCUGGUAAAACAUAGGCUUUUCUGUUUAAUUAAGUAUUAGACCAGUCUGUAGAUAUAAUCUGAAAAGAUUGUAGGCAGUAAUGAAGACAGUUGGGGAAAGGAGAAGGCCCUUUAAAGACAUGAAACCUUACACGCUCUUGGGAUAUUUUUAAGCAUAAUAAGCUCAUUGGAUUCAGGUAUUUUUCCCUUUGCAUUUUUAAAAAUACGUAUUUCUAAUUUGUUUGCAUAUUUAAUUUUGUCAAAGCUGAGAAAUGCUCAUGAGUUGAAUUUAUAAAUGUCAUUUGCAACCAAAUGAAGUAUUUAUUUUUAAAAAGAGAGUGAAGGAACCAACACUGAUUUGUACAUAAUAAAAAUGUGUGUAUUAUAUAUAUAUAUUUUUUCCUCCUUGACAGUACUUGGUCACAAUAUCAAGUGUAUUUUUGUACAUAAUAUAUAUUGAUUAGAAAAACGUCAAUUGUCUAUUCAAAAAAUUCUAUCUCUGUGAUAGAUUAUAUUUAUCCUAAUCUGUUGAUACCUCUGUUAAUUUGUUUUAAGAGAAUUAUAUUUUUUGGAAUUUACAGAGAAUUGCAUUCAUGGCUUUCAAUUGUAAAUAUGCUAAGGGUAUUUUAAUAAAUCUUGGUUUCAUGUC